Molecule: long non-coding RNA, 515 nt
Filed under: Chloebia gouldiae (Gouldian finch)
Lineage: Eukaryota; Metazoa; Chordata; Aves; Passeriformes; Passeridae
Description: Erythrura gouldiae (Gouldian finch) lncRNA (ENSEGOG00005005873.1)
Source: RNAcentral
CAAGUUCAGGAUGCCAAGUGUUGACAGUGGGAGCAGAUCCUUUUGUGAAGGACUGGAGGCUGGUUUCUGACAGAGGGCACUGAACCUUCCAGAUAAGGAUCUUCAGAAUUACCUGAGUUUGUAUCUGCAGCAAGCUCACAGUGACUCCUCGGGGAAGCUCAUUGAAUGGUUUGAUGUUGACCUCCAAGCUAUUGCUCUCACUUUCAAAAUUUUGUGUGCUAAAGAUGCAUCUGCGUGAGAGGGAGGACUCUGGUGACAGGGGAGGAAAAACAGAACAGACUUGUAUGGACAUCUGGCAGCAGCUGUGGUCAGAGAGCACGCAGAGGCCCUUGCUGGGAGCUGUUGGCUCUGUCCCUUCCAUCCCAGAGCCUGAGUCUGCAAAAACCAUUCAGAAGACCUGCAUGAUCAGUGACUGCACUGACAACUCUCUCCAGGGGAUAUUUUCUCUCUCCAUGGUUCUCCACACCUCUGACUUUACUGUGAAUGUCACUGAACUUCUCAAGGCUCUCGCCUAA